CAGGGAAUAGUUUAAAUAGAACAUUGGCUUUGGGCGCUGAUAGUGGGGCUGUUGCUUCUUCCUUGA
This 66-nucleotide transfer RNA is filed under the name Melursus ursinus (sloth bear). Its description in RNAcentral is "partial transfer RNA-Pro". Lineage: Eukaryota; Metazoa; Chordata; Mammalia; Carnivora; Ursidae. The record is from RNAcentral.